This 73-nucleotide transfer RNA is filed under the name Stegodyphus mimosarum. It matches the Rfam family "tRNA". From Rfam's summary of the family: Transfer RNA (tRNA) molecules are approximately 80 nucleotides in length. Their secondary structure includes four short double-helical elements and three loops (D, anti-codon, and T loops). Lineage: Eukaryota; Metazoa; Arthropoda; Arachnida; Araneae; Eresidae. The record is from Rfam by way of RNAcentral.
GCCUUCGUGGUGUAGUGUUCAGCACGUUGGACGCGUAUUCCAAACGUCCAUGGUUCGAGUCCCGGCGAAGGCG